This 63-nucleotide transfer RNA is filed under the name Dolabella auricularia (sea hare). Its description in RNAcentral is "tRNA-Glu". Lineage: Eukaryota; Metazoa; Mollusca; Gastropoda; Aplysiida; Aplysiidae. The record is from RNAcentral.
GUCUUCGUGGUGAAUAUAAUCACGUUAUCUUUUCGAGAUAAAAGAGGCGUAAGCCCUUAGAUU